GCGGGGGUGGCAGAGCUUGGUCAAAUGCGACAGGUUCAGGGCCUGUUACCCUAGUGGUUGCGUGAGUUCAAAUCUCACCCCCCGCA
RNAcentral lists this transfer RNA (86 nucleotides) under Microcaldota archaeon. Its description in RNAcentral is "tRNA-Leu". It matches the Rfam family "tRNA". Rfam says of the family: Transfer RNA (tRNA) molecules are approximately 80 nucleotides in length. Lineage: Archaea; Nanobdellati; Microcaldota. The record is from RNAcentral.